ACUAGCUUGACUCCUCCGUCUUCCAUUGACGUCGCUGCACGGAGCUCUGAAGCUUCGAAUAUCAAAAUAGCACCUUCCUUAGGAUCAUAGCAUUCGUCGGAUUGGAUAUGAAGAAAGGAAUACACCCACAGAUGCAAUGGAUAUCGUAUGUGACGCAGAGCGGGAGAUUGAUGCAUGUCAUGAUGACAAGGAUUCACCAUACUGGUAAAGUCUACCACUUUAGGGCUAAGCGUCAAAUGGCUGAGAGCAUUGGUCAGAUCGCUAAGUUCAAACGCCGUUACAACGAGCAAGAGGUCCAAGAGGAUGAGAAGAAAUGAUUGCACAAUGCAGACAGAGGGUUACUUCUUCUCAUCCCCCAACCCAACGGAUGGAUGGCUACAUAUCGGAUAUCCGGAGUAUUUGGAUUUGUGUUCGGGAAUCUCAUUUUAUGAUUUGCACUCGAAUUUAAAGAUUACGAGUAUUCGAGGUACAAGUAUUCCUGAAUAUUUGGAUUUAAUAAUAUUUAUAGAUUUAAAAAAAAAUAAAGUUGUGAUUAUAGUAUA
This is a long non-coding RNA of Tarenaya hassleriana, 542 nucleotides long. RefSeq lists it as uncharacterized. The transcript is spliced from 3 exons. The record is from RefSeq and is a predicted model, not a curated record. NCBI's taxonomy places the organism in Eukaryota, Viridiplantae, Streptophyta, Magnoliopsida, Brassicales, Cleomaceae.